UAUUCUGAGACUAGUAUGGAUGCAAUUGGUUCUAGAUAUUAAACAACUCUCGUUUCUGCACGAGAAAGCAUUCCUUGCAGUGGUUGCCUGUUUGGAAAUCCUUCGUCGAGGCAUAUGGAACUUUUUCAGGUUGGAAAAUGAGCACUUGAAUAACGUUGGGAAAUACCGUGCCUUUAAGUCUGUACCUCUGCCUUUUAACUACGAUGAGGACAAGAGUCAUUAACUGAUACCAGCAAAUCAAAAGACUCAAAAUGAUUUUCUGGUUUAUUGUACAAUUCUUUGAUUGUUUAUAAUAUAGUUUUCUUUGUGGGGA
This 313-nucleotide unclassified non-coding RNA is filed under the name Hevea brasiliensis (rubber tree). Lineage: Eukaryota; Viridiplantae; Streptophyta; Magnoliopsida; Malpighiales; Euphorbiaceae. The record is from RNAcentral.